CCUGAUUUUCAAGGGUCCAGAAGUCCUGUAAGAGAGAAUUUGAACCUUUUCUAUUGUGAUUUAGUCAUAUUCAGGCAGCUCCGUAGGGAGCUGUGACGGAUAGAUUGCCUUACCUGUUCAACAACUCUACCCACCUUUAGAAACAGCGAUCUGUGUUGUCUAGGAAUUUCUUCUCCCUCAUUUCCACUCAUGUGGUUUCUGUAGGAAGUGCUUUGUUCUUACGUAACACUGCCCCCAUGACCACAACUGACCUGGGUUGGGCCAAUGAGAGCCGUUCUAUGGCCUAAGAAACAAUGGAAUCCAGGGGCCCAAAGACAAGCUGCAUUUAAGGCCUGCCUUCCAUGUUCAGUUAUUCAAGGCUUCCUUGGAAUCUUGGUGACAAUUAAUUUCUUUUUUUUUUUUUUGCCUAAGGCUGUUUGAUUUGGGUUUCUGUCUCAUCCUAUCAAUCAUCCAUGGGACCCUUAAAGAAGCCGGGUUGUUGGAAAGAAAAGGAGACUGCUGAGAGGAAGAAAAUCACAAAAGCCUGAAUUCUCUUCUCUUGGGUAAUGCUGAGCGUCCCAGAUAUUUCUUGCUUUCAUGUCCUGUCAAAAUUUACCUGCCUGUAUCCUAUAUCAGCCCCUGAAGACAGCUGCUAAUCUGAUCAAUUGAUGUGUUCUAAUGGGAUAAAGAGUGAGAAUGGAGCAACAUAUUAGCCCUGCCAG
Molecule: long non-coding RNA, 701 nt
Organism: Aethalodelphis obliquidens (Pacific white-sided dolphin)
Lineage: Eukaryota; Metazoa; Chordata; Mammalia; Artiodactyla; Delphinidae
Exons: 2
Source: RefSeq, a predicted model, not a curated record